GACGAACGCUGGCGGCGUGCUUAACACAUGCAAGUCGAACGGAAAGGCCCUGCUUUUGUGGGGUGCUCGAGUGGCGAACGGGUGAGUAACACGUGAGUAACCUGCCCUUGACUUUGGGAUAACUUCAGGAAACUGGGGCUAAUACCGGAUAGGAGCUCCUGCUGCAUGGUGGGGGUUGGAAAGUUUCGGCGGUUGGGGAUAGACUCGCGGCUUAUCAGCUUGUUGGUGGGGUAGUGGCUUACCAAGGCUUUGACGGGUAGCCGGCCCGAGAGGGUGACCGGCCACAUUGGGACUGAGAUACGGCCCAGACUCCUACGGGAGGCAGCAGUGGGGAAUAUUGCACAAUGGGCGGAAGCCUGAUGCAGCAACGCCGCGUGCGGGAUGACGGCCUUCGGGUUGUAAACCGCUUUCGCCUGUGACGAAGCGUGAGUGACGGUAAUGGGUAAAGAAGCACCGGCUAACUACGUG
This 468-nucleotide ribosomal RNA is filed under the name uncultured bacterium. RNAcentral's name for it is "partial 16S ribosomal RNA". It matches the Rfam family "Bacterial small subunit ribosomal RNA", at positions 28 to 507 of the family's 1533-position model. The record is from RNAcentral.